GUUUAAAUAGUUUAAUAAAAAACAUUAGUCUUGUAAACUAAAAUUAAGAACACUCUUUUUAAACU
Molecule: transfer RNA, 65 nt
Filed under: Anopheles guarani
Lineage: Eukaryota; Metazoa; Arthropoda; Insecta; Diptera; Culicidae
Description: tRNA-Thr
Rfam family: tRNA
About the family: Transfer RNA (tRNA) molecules are approximately 80 nucleotides in length.
Source: RNAcentral